ACGGGUGAGUAACACGUGGGCAAUCUGCCCUUCACUCUGGGACAAGCCCUGGAAACGGGGUCUAAUACCGGAUACCACUUCCACUCGCAUGGGUGGGGGUUGAAAGCUCCGGCGGUGAAGGAUGAGCCCGCGGCCUAUCAGCUUGUUGGUGAGGUAACGGCUCACCAAGGCGACGACGGGUAGCCGGCCUGAGAGGGCGACCGGCCACACUGGGACUGAGACACGGCCCAGACUCCUACGGGAGGCAGCAGUGGGGAAUAUUGCACAAUGGGCGAAAGCCUGAUGCAGCGACGCCGCGUGAGGGAUGACGGCCUUCGGGUUGUAAACCUCUUUCAGCAGGGAAGAAGCGAAAGUGACGGUACCUGCAGAAGAAGCGCCGGCUAACUACGUGCCAGCAGCCGCGGUAAUACGUAGGGCGCUAGCGUUGUCCGGAAUUAUUGGGCGUAAAGAGCUCGUAGGCGGUCUGUCGCGUCGGAUGUGAAAGCCCGGGGCUUAACCCCGGGUCUGCAUUCGAUACGGGCAGACUAGAGUGUGGUAGGGGAGAUCGGAAUUCCUGGUGUAGCGGUGAAAUGCGCAGA
This 578-nucleotide ribosomal RNA is filed under the name uncultured Streptomyces sp. Its description in RNAcentral is "bacterial SSU rRNA". It matches the Rfam family "Bacterial small subunit ribosomal RNA", at positions 102 to 694 of the family's 1533-position model. Lineage: Bacteria; Bacillati; Actinomycetota; Actinomycetes; Kitasatosporales; Streptomycetaceae. The record is from RNAcentral.